AUGUGGUUCACCUGCGUUUCUUGUUCUAAAAGGUUUAAAAUUGUCUUGUUUAAAGCUUUUGUAAAACACUACCCCCUUUUUUACAAGCCCCUAAGACAGGCUCUGGUAAAUAACGAAAGGGCAGUCUGUGGUGUCUGCCUCUUCCUCCAUGGAAAUGUCAAGAAAAUGCUCUCAGAGCCACACCUCUACACGCAGGAAGCCCCAGGGGAGACAGUCUCCCAUAGAUAUUUUCGGUUACUUUCAUUUUUCCACAUAAACGCACAGUAUUUCUCAUGAAGGGCUAUUCUAAUCGAGAGAUCAGUUUUUGUAGCAGAGGCAAACAAUUGCAUUCAUCAUAUUUUCUUCAUCAUGUCAAACCAAGUGAGUUUCACACAUUCCACUCUUGCUAAGAAGAAUAUUACAGAAAAUCAGCAGGUUCUAGAAUAUUAUUAUGAUCUGUACACAGAGCAGCACAUAUAAACACAUGAACACCAUCCCUCCUGACUGGAUGGAUGUAAAUUAUUUAGCACAGAUUUUUCUGGGCAGCCAAUGGACUCACUUUGCCUACUGUCUAAGAUGAGGCGACUUAGUAGAUUAGUAGAAGAAGGACAUCAAGACACAUCAAUUGUCUGUCCGUGUGCUCUAGUAAAGUGCCAAAAAUGUAAAAAAAAAUAAUAAUAAUAAUAAUUAUGCUCCAGUUGCGUGUUAGUUGCUUAUAUAUAGAGAUAAUUAACAAGUGAUUAUGUAAUUGAAUAAAUCAACAUACAGCAGACUUGAAUGUGUUUUUCCCUCUGGAAAAGCUCUUGGAAUAAUGUCUGGGUUCAUAUAAACUGCUCUUUACCUCUCUGUUUACUGAACAAUGUUUAAUCUGUUCUUCUCACACAUCCAUUAACUCCAUCAUCCUACUAUGUGCUUAAUACAUGAUAAAACAUUUUUUUUUUUUUUGUGAAACAUUAGAUCAAAGGACAUCGAAUUUUACUGUAAAAUACAAUAUUUUUUAGAUUUUUUUUUUUUUUUUUUUUUUUGAAGUAUAAAGAAUGAUUUUUAUAAUUUAGGCUACUAUAAAAAUCUAUACUAUAUUCAAAAAGGUAAUACAUGUUUUAUUCUAAUGCAUUCAGCAAAAUAGGAGAAAUCUUAUUAUCUAUAGUGAACACAAAAUUAUUCUGAUUAUAUUUUAUUACAUGCUUAUAUUUAUGCUUGUUUUAUUGCACAUUGUGGUGUUUAAGUUAAAUUUUAUUUUCUGAAGUUUAGUUGGUCUUCAUUACAUUAUUUUAAUGCUGUUAUUACUGUGCUUUCUGUGAAUUUUAAAAUACAAACAUAUUUUUGUAGUUCGUAUAGGUUUAAAUAUGAACAUUAUAUGUUAUAUAUGGUUUUGACCUUAUUUGGUUUUGAAAUAUACAGGCACCAAAUGGCAAACAAUAAUACCUUAAUUUCUGGAAACCACAGCUGUUUCCCCCAUAAAUUUUACAUGAAUUCGCUCAGUCUAUAGCCUACUUCAGUUGCAGUAAUCAGAAAACGCAUUUUUAUGUAUUCCAACCAAAAGUUAAGCUGUACUAACUUAUUUUUGUACAUACAGAAGCAAUGGCAAGCACCUGCCUUAAAAGGUAAUUAAUCUCUCUCAUCGUUUUAUUCAAGCAGAGCUUGUUUUAGAGGAAAAACAACUGAAUACAUUUGUUUAAAACAUGCACCUCACCUUCAAGCCAUAGGAUAUUAGGAAUAAGCUCUGUUCUUCUGUCCGUUUAUAUCCACAACUUCUUGAUGUUUAGCAUCUUUUCCCCACACAGUCUCAAACUGUCCGUACUCGUUUCUGCAAGAGCGUUUAGUGUUCACGAUGCUGAAGAAUUUCACUUGACUGAAUCGUGAAUCGUGAAACGUUAGUGUAUCUUUUUAUUGGUAAAAUAUACUAGAUUACUGGUCUUACGUCUAACUUUAAAAGCCAGUUAGUGCGUGCUGUCAACAGAAGAGCGCGAAUACCGGGCGCAUCGAUGCUCUUACCAGCAGUAACUGUGAGCGCUUGGCAGGUAGGAGGCGGAGUUGACUGAUCUCAACAAGAGAAAAUUCCCAGAGGAUCCAAUGAAAUACGAACACAAAGUUCAAUACAAACCCGUCAAAAAUGAAAUCUGUCAAAUGUACAGUGUCCCUUCAACAUUUUAAGAUAGGCUACACAUAAAAUUAAAUUCAUGAAUGUCAUUAGGUAAAAUCAAACUAAGUGACAGCUGUAACAGUACAAACACACUUAUCCACAUACACUCUCUGAAAUAAUAAAGCUACCAUUUAUGAAAAGCACACACACUGGUUUUUCUUUUGUGAAAAGUGGGGACAUCCCAUAGGCGUAAUGGUUUUUAUACUGUACAAACUGUAUAUUAUAUGGCCCUACACCAACCCUACACCUAACCCUAACCCUCACCAAAAACGUUUUGAAUUUUUACUUUCUCAAAAAAAAUAAAAAAAAAAAAAUAAAUAAAUAAAUAAAUAAAUAAAUAAAUAAAUAAAUAAAUAAAUAAAAUAAAAUAAAAUAAAAUAAAAUAAAAUAAUUCUGUAUACAGUAAUUUAAAAGUGUUUUGAAAAAUGGGGAUAUGGGUUAUGUCCUCAUAAGUCACCCUCUCCUUGUAAUACCUGUGUCAUACCUAUAUAUCAUACAGAGUUGUGUCCUGAUAUUUCACAAAAACAAGAGCACAUACACACACACACACACACACACACACAUCCAUGUUUUAUGGAGACAUUCCAUAGGGGUAAGGUUUUUAUACUGUAAAAACUAUAUUUUCUACCGCCCUGCCUAGACCAACCCUAUACCUAAACCUACCCAUCACAGGAAACUUUCUGCAUUUUUAGAUUUUCAAAAACAUUUAUACCAAAAUAAUAAAACAAGGCAGUAAAUUUACAUUAUACUUUAUUUAUGAACUGUUAUUAUUUUUUUUUACAGUUUUCUUUCAACUGCUUACACACAUUUUCAAAACUUUGCAUCUUUUUCUUUUUUUUUUCUUUUUUUUAUAAAACUUCACAUACAAAUACAAGAAUUGCACACACAAAAUGCAAAAUUUUUCACAUCUAAUAUCAUAUAUACACAGUUAUUCAAAACCUAAAGCUCUUAA
Molecule: long non-coding RNA, 3074 nt
Filed under: Carassius auratus (goldfish)
Lineage: Eukaryota; Metazoa; Chordata; Actinopteri; Cypriniformes; Cyprinidae
Description: lncRNA (ENSCARG00000024528.1)
Source: RNAcentral